This 48-nucleotide non-coding RNA is filed under the name Trichobilharzia regenti. Lineage: Eukaryota; Metazoa; Platyhelminthes; Trematoda; Strigeidida; Schistosomatidae. The record is from RNAcentral.
AUCCAGAUGACGAGUCCCAAAUAGGACGAAAUGAACCUUGCCCUGGAU